This is an RNA transcript of Carlito syrichta (Philippine tarsier), 853 nucleotides long. It is a transcript of the gene named profilin-1 pseudogene, with no coding region annotated. The transcript has a single exon. Lineage: Eukaryota; Metazoa; Chordata; Mammalia; Primates; Tarsiidae. The record is from RefSeq and is a predicted model, not a curated record.
AGGAAGUGGCGGUGCGAGGGCUGCUGCACAGCUAGCAGAGCUGCGGUCCGGACGGCAGCGCGUGCCCCGAGCUCUCCGCCUCACCCCGCCCGCCAGCCCGAGGCAGCCCGAGCCCAGCCCGCGGCCCCAGCAGCAGCGCCGAGAGCAGCCCCAAUAGCAGCGCCAUGGCCGGGUGGAACGCCUACAUCGACAACCUCAUGGCGGACGGGACCUGUCAGGACGCGGCCAUCGUGGGCUAUAAGGACUCGCCCUCCGUCUGGGCCGCCGUCCCCGGAAAAACCUUCGUCAACAUCACGCCAGCUGAGGUUGGUGUCCUGGUUGGCAAAGACCGGUCAAGUUUCUUCGUGAAUGGGCUGACACUUGGGGGCCAGAAAUGUUCUGUGAUCCGGGACUCACUGCUGCAGGAUGGGGAAUUUACUAUGGAUCUUCGUACCAAGAGCACCGGCGGAGCCCCCACCUUCAAUGUCACUGUCACCAUGACUGCCAAGACGCUAGUCCUGCUGAUGGGCAAAGAAGGUGUCCAUGGCGGUUUGAUCAACAAGAAAUGUUAUGAAAUGGCCUCCCACCUGCGGCGUUCCGAGUACUGACCUCGUCUGUCCCUUUCCCACCACUCCCACAGCUUUUGCACCCCUUCCCGUACACACAUAUACCAUUUUUAUUUUUUGGGCCAUUACCCCACACCCCUUAUUGCUGCCAAAACCACAUGGGCUGGGGGCAGGGGCUGGAUGGACAGACACCUCCCCCUACCCAUACCCUUCCUGUGUGUGGUUGGAAAACUUUUUUGUUUUUUGGGUUUUUUUUUUUUUCUGAAUAAAAAAGAUUCUACUAAAAAAAAAUAAAAAAUAAAAAAAAA